Molecule: non-coding RNA, 1206 nt
Organism: Nicotiana tabacum (common tobacco)
Lineage: Eukaryota; Viridiplantae; Streptophyta; Magnoliopsida; Solanales; Solanaceae
Source: RefSeq, a predicted model, not a curated record
AGAAACUGUACAAAGCCGGUGGAAACAUCAGGAAGUUUAAGGGAGAAUCUCUGGGAACGUGGACUCAAUAUCGGAAACAUCAAUCCAUUAUGUAUCGGUUGUGCAGUUAUUUUUGCAGUUGUAACAUUUCCAGAACUUUUUAUAUAAUUCUAACCAUUCUACCAACAUAUCUUUGUAUUAGGAUUUCAAAGUAUAAUGGAAUUUCGUAUUUGUGGAGCACUUCAUUUCCUCUCUAAAUUCUCAAAGUAGUCUGCUUUACAUGCCAAACUUGAACUUUUUCUGUUGGUAAUUUCUAAAUUCCCAUUGAAGUGGACUAUGCAUCCAAGAUGUUUGAUGAUAUGCAAAACUUGAACUUCUUCUGUUGGUAAUUUCUUGGGUGUUAGUUUUCGAUUGUUUUGAAUAAUUUCUUGAGUGAUCGUACCUAAUUGCAAGGUAUCAAAAUUGCUGCUGUAAGAUUAGGUCUCUUAAUUUGUGCUCUAUUGUUAUUUGUUCCUGUAAGAAUGACUUUAUCAGUAGAUCCAGUUCCAAAAAGGAAGAGAGGGACAAGGAAAGAUGAGGAUGGAUGAUCCGCACAACUGCUUGUGUGACAAUCUCUUCUAUUCAGAAGAGAAAGCGGAAGAUGAACGAAGAUGCACCUAUUUUUUCAAGUAAAAACUAAAAAAAAUAGAGAACUGGACUUCGACGCUGCCAUAACGGAUGCUUUUCCAUGAAGAAGUAAACUAAAGGAAAUAAGAUUUGAAUCAAAUGUGAUAUGUGAAUAUAUUGAUAGGAAGCUGAGUUUUAGUGGCUGUCAGGUAUGUGGAAUUAAUUGUCAAUAUCCACUUUGUGGGUUCUUACGCAUUUACUUUUGUAGUUGAUUUCCUUCCAUAGUUGUUUUUUUAUUUCUUAUGCUGGACCUUUUAGAAUUUGUUUUUGUACUAUUACGGCUUUGCAGCUAUAAGAUGGAAAUAUUAUAUACUUUCACAAAUCUCUUUGAAAGCAAGGCAAUAAACAAUAUCGCUUUCCAGAGGUUCCCUCAAUUUUGGAGUACUUCCACAAGAAUCAUCAAGUUUGUGAUGCGUCCUCUUAUUGUGAUAUUAGUCCCCAGAGUAUUAAAUACUGUAUUUAUUUGAAGAAAGGGUUCCUAACGAAACAGUAGCAAUUACGUAUAUCAUAGAAAAUGUUAGUCUGAAAGAAUAUCACAAUAAGAAUAUAAAAUCUGCAAUA